UUCAUUAGACGUUGGAAGUAAGAGGGUU
RNAcentral lists this small RNA (28 nucleotides) under Bombyx mori (domestic silkworm). Its description in RNAcentral is "ovarian small RNA-9530". The record is from RNAcentral. Lineage: Eukaryota; Metazoa; Arthropoda; Insecta; Lepidoptera; Bombycidae.